RNAcentral lists this ribosomal RNA (429 nucleotides) under Chloroflexota bacterium. RNAcentral's name for it is "Chloroflexi bacterium partial 16S ribosomal RNA". It matches the Rfam family "Bacterial small subunit ribosomal RNA", at positions 355 to 776 of the family's 1533-position model. Lineage: Bacteria; Bacillati; Chloroflexota. The record is from RNAcentral.
UAGGGAAUCUUCGGCAAUGGACGAAAGUCUGACCGAGCAACGCCGCGUGAGUGAAGAAGGUUUUCGGAUCGUAAAACUCUGUUGUUAGAGAAGAACAAGGACGUUAGUAACUGAACGUCCCCUGACGGUAUCUAACCAGAAAGCCACGGCUAACUACGUGCCAGCAGCCGCGGUAAUACGUAGGUGGCAAGCGUUGUCCGGAUUUAUUGGGCGUAAAGCGAGCGCAGGCGGUUUCUUAAGUCUGAUGUGAAAGCCCCCGGCUCAACCGGGGGGGGUCAUUGGAAACUGGGAGACUUGAGUGCAGAAGAGGAGAGUGGAAUUCCAUGUGUAGCGGUGAAAUGCGUAGAUAUAUGGAGGAACACCAGUGGCGAAGGCGGCCCCCUGGACGAAGACUGACGCUCAGGUGCGAAAGCGUGGGGAGCAAACAGG